This 6449-nucleotide long non-coding RNA is filed under the name Aquilegia coerulea. RNAcentral's name for it is "long non-coding RNA (ACOE_LNC001215)". The record is from RNAcentral. Lineage: Eukaryota; Viridiplantae; Streptophyta; Magnoliopsida; Ranunculales; Ranunculaceae.
UUAUUCCUGUUCUUGGGGAUUACUGGGUUUUGUAUAUUGAUAAUGAUUAUCAACAUGUUUUGGUUGGAGAACCUCGUCGAAAGUUUCUUUGGGUAUGUAUAUAUGAAUCAUAUAUUUAUAUAUGUUCAUUUAUUUUUAAUUUUUAAUUUCAUAUCUAAUUUGGUAUAUGUGUGUACUACUACAGAUCUUGUGCAGGCAAACCAAGAUAGAUGAAGAUGUUUACAAUCAGCUACUUGAGAAGGCCACUGAAGAAGGCUAUGAUGUUAAGAAGCUACACAAAACACCUCAAGCUGAUCCCCCACCAUUUAGUACUCUGGAAGACGAGGAUAACAAAGGCUUCUGGUGGAUCAAAUCUUUACUAGGAAAGUAGUUAUGUUAUUUAAUUUGUAAAUAAUUGCGCGCUUUUGCGUAUUGUAUUAAUGCUAUUAUGCAACCAGGCUUACUUGAUAAAAAAAAAACUAGGACUUAAUCGUACUCUUUCUCUCUCAAGUUCUCUGCAGUCUGCACCACUAAAUAACACGGUCUCGAGUCCACCACCACCACCACCAUAACAACACUUCAUCUUCGAAUCUGCAUUAGGUAAUUGUUUCAUCACAAGUAGAAUCAAAAUGAAAUUUUAACCAAAAGAAGUGAUACUAUGUUUGAAGUACUUAGGAAGAAGAUCAAUAGAGUUAUUAAAAUUUGUUGUUAAUUUUAAUAUAUCGAAAUUUGUCUUAUUAUUUUUGUAUUUUGAAUUGGAUUAAUUUAAUUUUAAAUUUGCUAACAUUCAUUGUAUUUCUAUGUUGCCCAGUUGCAAUAGUUUGGAUUUUAGAAGAAGAAGUAUUUUGGAGUUUGGGUCAGACUUUGUUUUGUUUGUUUGAUUUUAACUUUUAAGUUUUGAAUUGGAUAUGUUUCUUUGAGAUGGAUCUGUAUUGAACCCUUGUUGAAUUAUUUUGGAUCAGUUUGUUUUAAAUGUUAUUAAGGCCCAAAAUAUAGGCUCAGAUUAAAGCCCAAAUCGGUAACUGAACCGAACCAAAUUGAAUCGGUCCAGUCCGGUCCAAUUUUAACAAUAAAUUUUCAGUUCUUCAAACCGAACCGAACUAAUAUACACUGACUCUGUACAGUUCAGUUUCAAUUUGGUGGCAAACUUGAACCGAACCGUGAGCACCAGGGUCCUAGAUAAUAUUUUUCUUCUUCACCUUGCUAGUAGAGCCGUAGAGGACUCUUUUCCCGAUAGCAUAGAUUGCUGUGUUGUCCUCUGCUAUUAUCCAAACGAGUGGAAUGCACAUUAGUUUGGAUGUAUUACAUAGAAUAAAUUAAAUAUGUUUAGAUGUUUAAGUUAUUUUAUUAUAUUAUAUUUAUAUUAAGUUUGAUUAAUAAAAAUUAUUUAUUUAAUUAUUAUGAUUCAAUAUUAGUUAUUAUGAUUCGAUAUUAAGUAAGAAUACAUAUUAUAUAUAUGUAUAUAUAUAUUUGGUUUAUUACAAAAAUUGAAGGAAAAAAAAAAUCUGUUAAAAAAAACGGUAUAUAGUUGGGGUAUAAAAUAAAAUAUUCCAUUUAGUAAUAAUAGAAUUUUUGGAAAUUUGGUAGUAGCAUAACAAAGUUGGGAGAUGGUGCAUGUGAAUAUAAUAACCCCUACUAAUUCUUUUUACAACAACUUAAAAAUUUGUUUUAUAGUGACUGUUGAAUGCUUGAAUGCUAUAUACGUGUCAGAGUUAAUGUGAUUUGGAAGCUUUCUCGGUAUCGUGCGCCAUAUAAGCUGGGGAAGAAGUGAAAAUUACCAAUUCUACCCAGAUGGACUGAUUGUUGUAUACUGUAUCUUUAAGGGCAAACAGGUCAUUAAAAGAAAAAAAAUGACAUUAGCUCACUGUUCCAUCUUCUCUUUAUUAUUUUUCUAGUUCUUCUGUUUUGUUUUGGCUUUAAAGAUUCAGAUUUCAGAACAAAGAGUCUUCUUGCACAUCUUAGAAAAGGUCGUUAGUAAUCUUUGUGCGCUUUCCCAGUAUGCGGUAUAUACACAUUUUUGGAACAAACUGCAGAUCAAUAGACCAUGUACAAAUUAAUGGUUUGAUCAAUAACAUUCAAUUCAAUCAUUUACUAAAGCAAUGAAAAAAAAAUCUGUCAAUCUGAAUCUCUCAGUCGCUAGUCGCUUAACAUCACAUAGUUUUUGAACAAAAUUUAAGGCGGUCUUUGAAAGACUAAAAGACCUGCUAUGUGGUGAUCUAUCUACCCUGUGAGGAUUUAGAUAUAAUAUCAUAGAAGGCCUCGGCUCGCGUUAACUAGGUCCAUUACACUACCAUAUAUCCAAACCCCCACUGGAUUAUUUGGGCCAAAUAACUUACGCACCUAAUCUAUUAUACUAUAUUAAAGCAGAAAAUACCCCUAAGAAAAUAUCUCUUUAAUUAGGCUAUCAAUAAGACUGAAAUUGAUAGCCUAAUUGAAGAGAAUUUUGAUUAAGUUUGGGUAUAUUUGUAAUUAGGCAAAAGUGGACCACCAUCACAGAUAUAAUUAAGCCCAAUUAGACCAUGGGAAUAAUUAAGCUCAAUAAAAAAAAUUAAAAUAAUACUCAAUCCCAAGUAUAAUCAAGUCCAGCCCGUACCUAGUUGGACCAAAUCACAAGCAUAAUUAAAAUACAGUAAAACUUCGAUAAAUUAAUAGCCUUGAAACUAGAGAAAAUUAUUAAUUAAACGAGAUAUUAAUUCAUCGAUUAAUUAAUAAACUAUUAAUUUACAUAAACAAUAUAUUUUCAUGUAUGUCUUUCUUUUUAGGGGACUAACAUGAUGAAGCUGGAUAAUCAUUUUAUUCUAGAACCGGUUCCACAAAAAGAAACACUAAAAUCGAUAAUGAUAUUGGAAUAAUUUCUUCUUGCAAUACAAAAUACAACACCAGAUCAACUCAUCACACUACAAAAAUUUAGAAACGAGGUUCAAACCAAAAUCAAUUUUGAGAAAAAAAAAACAAUAAUUGACUUUCAUUAUAUAUAAAAUAUAAAAUAUAUUUGUAUAUCAAAAAAAUAUUAAUUUAUAUAUUAGUUGGGCCUUCAAGGAUUUUUCUAAAAUGUAUUAAUUAUCUAAUAAAUUUACCGAAAUAUUAAUUUAUCAACAUAUGCCCAAGUUCGGACCAGCCAAAAAUAUUAUUUAAAGGAGAUAAUUAAUUUAUCGGGUAUUAUCUUAUCGAGGUUUUACUAUAUCUUUUCAAUUAUGCUGAAAUUGAUAAAUUAAUUGAAAAGAAAUUCAUUCAAUUUUGGGUAUUUUUGUAACUACACAAAAUAAAUAAAAAUGGGUCAAUAUGUAAUUUCACAUAUUAAAUACAACAACCUUCAUAAGUAACCUUAACUUGAAUUCUUUAUAAGCAGUAAACCACAUUAUCACCACUAAAUCUAAUACCAGUAAUUGACUACCAUUGAUAAAAUGCUCUAACUCUAAUUUCUUUCAAUUCAGCAAUUUUAACUUCAAUAAAUUUACCAGUAAUUUUUUUUGAAUAAGUAGCUAAAUAAUUAUCUGGUGGAAGUAGUGAUUUACAUUGAAAUCACCAGAUGAUUUACUACAUUUGUACAACUUUUCCAUCUAUUAUACUCUAUUAAAGCUGGAAAUACCCUUUAAAAAACAUCUCUUCAAUUAGAUUGAAAUUAAUAGCUUAAUUGAAGAGAAUUUUGAUUGAGUUUGGGAAUCAAGUCCAGCCCGUACAAAAAAUACAGUAAAACCUCGAUAAAUUAAUAGCCUUGGAAGUAGAGAAAAUUAUUAAUUAAAUGAGAUAUCAAUUCAUCUAUUAAUUAAUAAAUUGUUAAUUUACAUAAUUAACAGUAUAUUUUUAUGUAUAUCUUUCUUCUUUUUAGGGGGGGGGGGCUAACAUGAUGAAACUGGACAGUCGUUUUAUUCUAAAACCCGUUCCACGAAAAGAAACACUAAAAUCGAUAAUGAUAUUGGAAUAAUUUCUUCUUGCAAUACAAACUACAACACCAGAUCAACUUAUCACACUACAAAAAUUCAGAGACGAGGUUCAAACCAAAAUCAAUCUUGAGAAAAAACAAGCAAAAAUUGACUUUUAUUAUAAAAAAAUAUAUAAAAUAUAUUUGUAUAUCGAAAAAAUAUUAAUUUAUAUAUUAGUUGGGCAUUCAAGGAUUUUUCUAAAAUGUAUUAUCUAAUAAAUUUAGCGAAAUAUUAAUUUAUUAACAUAUGCUCAAGUUGGGACCAGCUAAAAAUAUUAUUUAAAGGAGAUAAUUAAUUUAUCGGGUAUUAUCUUAUCGAGGUUUUACUGUAUCUCUUCAAUUAAGCUGAAAUUGAUAACUUAAUCGAAGAGAAAUUCAAAACUUACCAAGAUUUACAUUGAAAUCACCAGAUGAUUUAUUACGUUUAUACAACUUCUCCAUCUUCCUCUUCACUCAAAGUCUAUGUCUGCUUAUAUGCUUAUAUUUGAUCCAUGUAUAUAUGAUGUUUGCUGAAGAUCUCUCGACGACACAGAAAUCAAAACUCACCAGUAUUCUAAGUCAAAUGGGCAGCUAUGCAAGUUUAUUAAUAAGAUCAUUAAUAAUAUUAAUAUGAUAUUAUUGUGGACACACGUCAAACAUGUUUGUGAUAGUCAUUUUCAAUUACAUUCUAGAUUUGACAAAAAGUAUAUUUUAUAGGAAUAUGGAGAACCAGUAAUCUAUUUCUUUUCCUUGCACUUAUUAGGCAUUGACAAAAAGUAAAUGAAAAUAGAAAAUAAACUCCAAUAAAGAUGAUGAUAUAAUCUUCAAUACAUUUCAAUGGUGGGGAUACGAAAAGGGACCCAAGUAGCAGUAAGACUUAUUUACUGCAAUUUCAUGAAAUUUGAGUUUCCCUUAAUUUGUGAUCUAAUGUACGUAAAUGUGUUGCAGAUGGGACUAUAUUAAAAAAUGUCGCAAGAUUCACACAGACAUGGAUUUUAUGGUUGCCUUCCGGAAAUGCUUAACUACAGGCCUAUAAGGGAUCUCUCUGUCACAUUACAAGUAAGUCAUCUUUAUCAUCAUAAUAGUUUGUUAAAGAUUUCGAAUUUUCAUGAUGUUAACUGUUACAAGCCAAUUAAGAGACGCUCGACUGCUAAUGGACUACUGUGAAAUGAUUGUUUCCCAAAGUGAUGAAGCCUCAACAACCGAGCCAGACUAAAUUCUAAUUGAGACUUUGAGAAUUGAGAGUACUGCAAAAUCCCAUUCUCCUGAAUAUUUUCAAAUGUUUUGGGUUUAAUUUUCAUGUAUAUAUAAUAAUCAUUUAAUUUCAUUACUCAAAGAUUUAUAAUAAUUCUAAAUGAAAUCAUAUUACAAGUUACAAACCAAAAGCAAUAUAAAACCCCCAAAAAAAAAUUUUAAAACAAUCAGAUAUGCCCGUGCAUUGCACGGGCCUAAGGACUAGUAUCAACUUACAUACGAAUAAUAAACGAAUCAUAAACCUCCCCAUACCAACUGGAUUUUUAUGAAUAUUCGUGAAAUAUUUGAAAAGUACGAAAUUUACGAAAUUUUCGUAUCUGAAAUUAACAUAUUUAUUUUUAAAUAUAAUUCCCACAUUUAUUUAAUAAAAAAGUUUAAAUUUUUCUUGAAUAUUCGAGCUAUAUUUCGCGAGAAUUAUUUUGCCAAACCUCCCAAUUUCGACACUAGGGUCCGGAUAUUCACGGAAUAUACCGGUUUUUCAAGGAUCGGAUAUUCAAGUUUAUUCAAAAUUUUCAUCUAUGGUUCAUGGAUGCCCAUUGGCCAACAUUACUAACAAACCCACACGUUUGCAAUAGAGUGUUUAUCUUUCCCUUUCUUUCCUUUAUAAUAAGUACCAAAACAGGCAAACAUAAACAAGCCCAAAACAAAUCCUAAAUUUGUUUUCGUACAUUCAUACUAAAAAAAAAUGGCAAAGAAAGAAGCAAUGAAAGUUGUAAGAAAUCUAGAUUUGGAAAAGUACAUGGGCAUGUGGUAUGAAAUUACAUCAGUUCCAUCUUUUUUUCAACCAAAAGAUGGUACAAACACAAGAGCUACUUAUAAGUUAAAUGAUAAUGGUACUGUUAAUGUUGUUAAUGAGACUUGGAGUAAAGGUAAAAGGGUAUCUAUAGAAGGAUCAGCUUAUAUGGCAGAUCCUUCAAAUGAUGAAGCUAAGUUUAAAGUCAAGUUCUAUGUUCCUCCUUUCUUCCCUAAUAUUCCUGUUCUUGGGGAUUAUUACUGGGUUUUGUAUAUUGAUAAUGAUUAUCAACAUGUUUUGGUUGGAGAACCUCGUCGAAAGUUUCUUUGGGUAUGUAUGAAUCAUAUAUAUAUUUCUAUAUAUAUGUUCAUUUAUUUUUAAUUUUGAAUUCCAUAUCUAAUUUGGCCGGUAUAUGUGUACUACUACAGAUCUUGUGCAGGCAAACCAAGAUAGAUGAAGAUGUUUACAAUCAGCUACUUGAGAAGGCCACUGAAGAAGGCUAUGAUAUUAAGAAGCUACACAAAACACCUCAAGCUGAUCCCCCACCAUUUAGUACUGUGGAAGACGAGGAUAACAAAGGCA